Cucumis melo (muskmelon) is the source of this 9522-nucleotide RNA transcript. RefSeq lists it as uncharacterized. Lineage: Eukaryota; Viridiplantae; Streptophyta; Magnoliopsida; Cucurbitales; Cucurbitaceae. The transcript is spliced from 6 exons. The record is from RefSeq and is a predicted model, not a curated record.
AAUUUUCCUAAAAAAAUUAAUUAUUCUCGUUUCGUUGGCAACGCUUUCCCUUCCUCUCGUAAACACUUUUGCAAAAACCCAGUUGUCGUCAUCUCUCUCUCGCGAACGCUCUGAGGUUCAUUAGAACGCAAAAAUUUCCCUCUUGCAAGCGCUCCAGCCACCAUUUGAAGGAGCUCACUAAACGCUUGCGAAAACCCUCACGUCCGCAGUGUUACACGUUUUCCCUUCCUCUCGUAAACAUGCUAAGAAAACGUUCGUCCGGUGCUUUGAUUUUAAUGUUCCCUCCUCCUUCCGAUGGUUUCUCCAUCGUAUCUUCUUAAGCACCACCUCUACAGUCACCCCUGUUUCUGGAAUAGGAUUAGAUUCUGUCACAUUAUACCAAGGUCCAUACGAAGGAGGAAAGCAAGACGCCACCUUAUCCUUCAAGGACGAAGAUUUCGUUAAAAUUGCUUUGGGGAAGAUGAAUCCUCAGAUUGCUUCCUUGAGGAAUAGUCGUCGAAAUGCCGCACAUUUGCAACGCCAUCGAAAUCAAUUUCUGGUUACCUCUGUGAAGCUGUAUUCCGCUGUUUAUUGCUUCUUCUCACUCCCUCCUUUGUUCGCUGUACCUUCUUGAGGAAGAGACAAUUCGUUUAUUCUCACAGAGCUCAGAUGUUUUGUGCUCUUGUCUAAUGUGUCCCAACAUAUGAUCAAGACCUAGUAGAUGAAUCAUUUUCUUCUUUCUAAAGAAUGUUGUAGACGCUAAUCAUUCUUGUGCAUUGUUCUUUGUUCACUUUUUGUUUAGUCAAAAUUUGUGGUGCUAAAAGUUCUUAUAAAAAGAUAUCGUGGUGCCAGUGUAAUAUGAUCUUUAUAGCAUUAGUAUGGAUCUAUUACUUAUACUCAGUAAGCUUAUUAGUGUUGAGUGGUUAUCAAUUGAGUGAAUUUGUGUGUGUGUGGUGGGUAUGGGGUUGGGGUCGUGAAGAGGAAUGCCUGGAAUUUGAAUGGUUAGCAUACUCUUAUUCUUUUUUUUUUCUUUAAUACAUUGUUUUCUCAAUUUUCCACUCUAAUUCUUUGUUUCUAUCAAAUUGGUGUUGGAGCACAUUCAUAAUUGGGAAUGGAUUCAAAAUUGAGGGGAAAAUAGUUGAAACUUGGAAGUGUGUAGUCUGCCAGUAUCCUAUCAAUUGCCUCAUUUGUUUGGAUGCAACUAAGGUUGAGUAUGUUAAUUUCAAUACCUGGGUAAAGUUUCAAGUCUAAUACAAGGAAUUUUAAUACAUGAAACCAGUCUCUGAAUAUUGUCUUCACAUGUUCAUUAAAUGUAAUGGAUUGGUUCCCAACAAGAUCACAAAUGAUGUUAUGAUUUUUGUACAGCAUUUCAUCUGUUUCAUAUCCAAACAAACCAAGUUGUUGGAAACUAAUCGUAAGUCUUAAUGGACCAAAAGUAAGGAAGUUGGAGAACAUGGAACACUCAAGGAUUGAGAUACCUGAAAUCUAGUUUAUCUUGCUUUUUCCUUGAUAUGCUAGAUCUAUUGCUCUAUUAAAAAUUUUGUCUUGAUCAUCACUUAGUUGAGCUCUGGCUGCAUCUAAUGAUGCUAAAAGCAGAUAACUAAGAUUGGUGCUUGAAGAGUUUGUAAACAUCCACAAACUCUUUCUCUGUCUACAAGAUUCCCUGACCAUGUGCAACAUUAAUGAUUGUGUAAGAGAGCAAGGAACCUUGUAAGUCGAUUGGGUCACCAAAUAAGCUCCUUUUUAUAGUGUAGAAAGAGGCAACUGAGGUUGAAACUCAAAGUGUGUCCCAUGAGCCUCGUCAACAAUCAAGGAAAUUCUCUUAACAUGACAUAUAUGAAAAAUUUCACUCAGGCUACUGCAGAUGCCAUGAUAAGUAGAUGAAGUAACAAACACUGCUGCUUUUUAACCUUCUAUUUUUAAGUCCUUGAUUGCUCUAUCUACUUGUGAAUACAAUAAAGAAUUUCACAAAGAGGUAUUAGAUUUGUUGAAAUUGAGGGGAAAAUAGUUCAACCGUUGGUUUUAGGUAUUAGACUUGUUGGUUUCAGACGAUAUUUCUUUUUCUUUUUCUUUUUCUUUUUCUUUUUCUUUUUCUUUUUCUUUUGUUAUCAAAGUCUUAAACAAAGAGGUUACAUCUGGUGUUUAAAUUAGUGUAUGUUAUGUUUCUCCUUAAAAUUCCUUAUUGUUCUUGUGCUAUGAGUGAGGAAAUGUAUGUUGUUUAUGUACUUACUGUUUGCUUGGUGAAUAUGAGCUUUGUUCUUUAAUUUGAUACGUGUAUAUGAGUUCGGUUUAGGGUGGUUUAACAUACUAAAACAAAACUACUCAAUACAGAACCUAAGUAUCUUGUCCCUUUGAUUGCAAACAAGUUUGAUUAAGUUCUAACUUCUGAGAUAUAUAAAUCGUGCAAUAUCGUCUAAUGGACAAAUCAUGGAUGAUAGAAAAUAGGAGGUCUAAGUAGUAUGAAUUGGGAGUGGAAGCGUUCAUUCAAUUUGGUUUUCGUAAUGGCAAAGAUUUCCAGUACUAUUAGGUGUCCAUGUUUUAAAUGUGGGAAACUAUUGCUGCAGGACGAAUCAACAGUUAGAUAUCAUUGGGAUCAAUCAAAGCUAUAAGAUAUGGCUUUGGCAUGGCGACUCUUUUACAUCAGAGAGUUCAUGCAAUCAACAGGCUUACAUGAACGAAAAACGAUCGACGACGAUUUAUUUCAUAGGCUAAAUAUGGUUCAAAAUGUUUGCGAUCAAUUUUCUAAAAUACCUAAUACGUUUGACAAUAUGUUCGAUGAUGCAAAGAAGCCUCUAUUCUCUAGUUGUAAAAGAUUUCACAAAGUUGUCAGCAUUAGUUAGGCUAUAUAACUUGAAGGUUAGAUUUGGACGGAGUAAUGUUAGCUUCUUCGAACUACUAGUAACAAUUAGCGAGUUCUUGCCUAAAAAUAACGAAAUGUCGGUAUCCAUGUAUGAAGCAAAAAAAAAAAAAAAAAAAAAAAAAAAAACGCUUACUGCGUUGGGCCUUAGUUAUCAAAAAAUAGAUGCAUGCCCAAACGAUUGCUGCUUGUAUAGAAAAGAUCUAACAGACAUCAGUAGGUGUCCUAAAUGUAAUAUUUAGAGGUGGAAGACAAGUAAGAACUUAAAUGAAAAGAUUAAGGGAAUUGCAGCUAAACAGUUGUGGUAUUUACCAAUUGUUUAGAGGUUCUUAAGGAUGUUCAAGAAGUUCGAACAUGCAAAGAACUUGUGUUGGCAUGCAAAUGACAAGAAAGUAGAUGGUGUGUUAAGGCAUCCAACUGAUACUCCAUCUUGGAGGUUGGUAGACCAUUUAUGGCCAGAUUUUGGGUUCAAACCGAGAAACCUCUGCUUGGGGUUGUCCACAGAUGACAUCAAUCCAUACGAAGAUUUAUCGACGAAAUAUAGUUGUUGGCCUCUGUGUGGUUGCUACAAUAUACAACCUUCCAUCGGGCUAUGUAUGAGAAGGAAGUGUUUAAUGUUCACUAUGUUAAUCUUAGAACCUAAGCAACCAGGAUACGACAUAAAUGUCUACCUAGCACCUUUGAUUGAUGAUCUCAAACUUAGGUGGGAAGAAGGUGUUCAAUGUUUUAAUGCACAUAAAGAAGAAUUUUUCACCCUACGAGUUGUUUUACUGUGGAUUAUCAAUGAUUUUCCUACAUACGGUAACUUGUCUGGAUGUAGCAUGAAGGGGUAUAAGGCUUGUCUAAUAUGUGGGAAGGAGACUUCUUUUAUAAGACUACCACAUGCGAAGAAAAAUGCAUACAUGGGACAUAGAAAAUACUUACCAAGAUAUCACCCUUAUAGAAGACAAAAGAAAGCAUUUGAUGGUAAUCAGAAGCACGAGAGACCUCCUCUCCCUUUAUCAGGUGAGGCAGUCUAUAAUAGACUUAAGGACAAGACUUUUCCAUGUGGUAAAAAGUCCAGUAGGAGGUUGAAUGAAAAUAUUUCGAACGACUACUGGAAAAGGAUUUAUGCAUUCUAUAAGUCAGUGUACUAGAAAAAAUUUCAUGUAAGACACUAUCUUGAUGUUAAACAUAUUGAGGAAUGUAUUAAUGAAUAUAAUUGGUACACUGCUUGACAUACCAGGGAAGAGUAAGGAUGGACUGAGUUCUAGACUUGAUUUGGUAAAAAAGAACAUUCGACCCAAGUUGGCCCUUGUAUCCGAUGGAAGUAGAACUUACAUACCUGCAGCAUGUUAUACACUGUCAAGGGAGCAGAAGGUCUCUAUUUGCAGAACUUUGUCUGAUCUUAAGGUUCCAGACGGUUAUUCAUCGAAUUUCAGAAGUUUUAUAUCUUUAGAGAACCUAACGCUCUCUGGUCUUAAAUCAUAUGAUUGUCAUGUUCUAAUACAACAACUGCUCCCAAUUGCAAUAUGUGGAGUUUUACCUAAUAAUGUUAGACUAGCUAUAACUAGAUUUUGUUCUUUUUUUAACGUUAUUUGCUCCAAGACUUUGCAAAUAUCAGAUCUAGAUAAAUUGUAGCAAGACGUUAUUGAAACAUUAUGUUUGCUUGAAAAGUACUUUCCACCAUCAUUUUUCACCAUUAUCGUACAUCUAUACAUCCACCUUAUGCUAGAGGCAAAAAUUUGUGGAUCCAUAUACCUAUGGUGGAUGUACCCAUUUGAAAAAUAUAUAAAAGUGCUGAAAAGUUAUGUCCAUAAUAGAAAUUGUCUGGAAGGGUCGAUCGCAGAAGCACACAUAUGUGAGGAAGCCGUUGAAUUCUGUUUUGAGUUUCUAUCUAGGCUUGACCAAUGGAAUAGGUUCAUUUAAGUCUCGAGAGGAAGGUCAAAUCGAAAGACUGUUAUCUGCAGGAUCGUCUAUUACACCUAGUCAAUUUCUACCAAAACAAGCCCAUCUACACAUAUUAUAAAACAUUGAAGAAGUUCAGUCGUAUAGAGAGUAGGAUUCAUUACCUUUGACCUGACAUUUUUCUCUUAUCUACAUUCUUUUAAAUAAAUGGUACUCACUACUUUGAUGACGACUAGCCUUACAUAAACGACAUAUGGAAAUCUUGAAAUCCACAAAGGGUGAGAAUUGAGAAGAAGAGAAGAAAUCAAUGAAACGCAAGAGGAGGGCAUGUAAGAACUCAGUGAUAGAAAUUUGUUUGGCGAUUAACAUCACCAGGUGAUAUAUCACACCAUCACGUGAAGAGAUUCACUAGAAGACAAGAAUGGUAGUUGGAGUUGAUGUGACUUGACACUACUAUUUUUAGCGCCGACAUGCACAAAAAAAGUAGAAGCUUCUCACCUAAAGCAGCCUAUAUAAAGCUUCUAUCUAUACCAAGAAGAAGUGAGGUUAGAAGUCUGAAUUGACCAGGCUGAAGGUCUGAAAGGACUAGAUUGGAGGUCUGAAUAGACCAAAACCUAAAGAGCUCCAUGAGAGUUAGAGGAAGAGACUAGCUCCUCCAUCUUUUAUAGAAGUUCUUCCUUCUCCCUUCUACACUAGUCAACCUCUGAGUGAGAGCUUAGAUAGAGACUAGAGAAAAGAAACCACCAUCUUCUCAACCUAACUUAUAAAAAAGCCAAAGAAUGCAACCCAAUGCAUUAUACGACUCGUCAUAUAUCUUUUCUUUCCAUUUUUGUACUUUAUGAUGUAUGGUAUGAAUGUUCUUCAUUUCAUUGUCAAAAGGUCUGCAUUGUCAAUACACUGCAUUUUAGUCCAUUGUCUCUCUUCCAUUCCCUUACUAUUCAUCUUGUUAAUGUUUUUAAGUAGUUUAAAGUUGAUGUCUGAUACUUAAUAAGGAUCCUUUAGUUAUAAGUCUCAUUGUGUUUAGUUGAGCUUAACUUAAGCACUCAUCCAGUGUUGGUCACUAACUGAUCGAGAGAGUAAUUAGCAAGGACGUGGCUAAACACGUAAGGAAGGAGUUUGGAAACAAACUCCCGGCUGGUGUUUUGACUUACAUCAUUUGUGUCCCAAAGGGUGAACAAGUGUGAUGAUUAGGCGUCAAAAGGCCGCUCACUAUAAAUAAGAGAGUCAAUGCGAUGCUUAUAAACAAGGAAGUCUAGAUGUAUAUCCCUUGACUUAUCUUUACUAUUUAUGUCCUAAAAGUAGAAUAAGUGUUGUGUUUAGGCAUCGAGAGGUUGCUCGCCUUAAAUAUAAGAUGGUCAAGAGAUCUAUAUCAUAUCGAGGAUAAGUCGUACAACUUAGAGCACCUAGAAUACUAAGGGGCCGUCUGAAGGAAGGGUUGGGUUAUGGAGGGUUAGGGUUAUGAUAAACCUAGUGUUAUGAUAAACCUAGGAUUAUGAUAAGAUGUGUUUGGGGGAAGAGUUAUGGAGGAAGUGUUAUGAUAAAAUGUGUUUGGGGGAAGGUUAUGAAGGAAGUGUUGUGAUAAUGUUUUGAUAAGAUGUGUUUGGGAGAAGGGUUACGUGGGUAGGGUUAUGAUAGAUUAAGGAAGAGUUGAAGAAGAGUUAAGGAAAAGUUGAAGAAGUGUUGAAGAAUGAUUGAGGAAAAGUUGAAGAAGGGUUAAGAAGUGUUGAAGAAGGGUUUGAGGAAGGGUUAAGGGGCUAAAACUAGGGUUACAUAAUCGUUCCCCCAAACGAGGGUUGGAUUACAUAACCCUUCCCCCAGACGAGGGUUGGAUUACAUAACCCUAACCCCCAUAACCCAACCCUUCCCCAAAACGCCCCCUAAGACUUUCCUUUAUCUUUCUUAAUGCAAGUUAGUCCAUUUUCCAUAAUCAUACCAUUUUCUGUCUCCUUCUAUAGAAUCUCUAGUGUAAAUAGUAGUUGUAAUACACACAUACAUAUUUUAUUGUAUGAAUAUUGUAUACCACCUGGAUAAGAAGUAGAUCUUAUCUUAUUAAAAUCUUAUCAGAUAAGGGGUCAUGUCCUAUCUGAUUCGAUUUUAUCUUUUAAUUUUUCAAAUUUCAAUUGUGUUUGAAAUUCGAGGUCUAUAAAUAGACUUCCAUGAUAAUGCAAAGCACAUCGCGAAAUAUUAUUGAGCUCUAAAAUACCAAGCUCCUAAUAUUCCGACUGCUUUCUUCUUGUAAUCUAACGAUCCUAGUUCUCUUUGCGGUUAGCAUUGAGCAAUUGGUAUCAGAACCAUCAAUAAAAGUUCAAAUUCCUUUCAAUUCGUUUUCAAAUUUCAUUUUCGGGGGAGGAGUUAGAUAAAUUUUAGUUCUCUUCAAUAAAUUUUAUUCUUCAAAUUUUGUUAAAUUCAAGAGAUUCAAUUUCGAAGAUCUAGAUUCUACGUUCGUGUCUAAGUUUGUGGUCCCGACAGUAAGACGCAAGGAAAUGCGGUGAGACCGUUGGUCAGCAGUAAUCCGUCUUAGCACAUACAUGUAUAGAUUCUUGAUCGAAGAAAUUUUAUUUCUAGAUUUAAUAAAAUUUUAAAAAAUAAAUAUUUAAAGUAUGAUAAUUUAAAUUUUCAAAUAUCUAAUUUCCUGAAAAAAAUUAUCCUCUAAAUCUUCUUCAAAAGAUCUUACUUAAAAAGAAAUUGAAGAGCAACAUACUGCUUCUUCUAGUGAAGGUGAUGUGACAAAUGAAUCAAUUCGUAUUGCAAAAGUAGAAAAUGAUUUUCUCAAUUGGGGAAUUCAAAACAAUUUAUUUUCAACAUACUUUCAAUUUCAAAGAAAAUCUUUGUGUAAAAAUUGUUGAAAGAAGAAUUCCAGUUUAUGAAAAAUUUGAUUCCAUACAAUUAUUUCCAAGAAAUGAUAUUAAAAAACAUUAAAAAGAAUUUUCAUUUCUUCAUAUAGAAGUUGUCCAAGUAGCUUUAAUUCCAAUGUUUAGAUCCGAACUAGAUACACCAGUCUUAGCAAUUUUACGCGAUAAAUGCCACAGAUUUUUCAAAUUCUUUAUUAGGAAUAAUUAAUCAAAUUUGGCCAAUGACCCUGUAUAUUUUAAUUGUUUUUCAAAUUUUAUGGUGUCUCUUGAUGACUCACGUAUUCUUAAAACCUUGAGCUUAGAUAUUACUGGCCAAGGAUUAAAUUUUGAAGAAGGAGUUAAAAAAUUAACCCUUGUUUAUAAAGUUACUUAUAAAGUUUUGACUAUUACCAUGCAUCCAAAAACUUUAUUGUCUUCAACAAAAGGAAAAACUAUGUAGAAACAAAUCUCAAUAAAUCAUCUGUUAGUGUUCCAAAACUCCUUUCUUGGGACGAAGUUACAAAAAAUCUUCGAUGGGUUUUAAACAACGCUUUUAUCCCUCAAAAGAAAGAAAAAGAAGUCUGUCAUAUCAUUGAGCAUCCUAAUGGGAAGGUUGAAAUCAAAUUUGAAAACGAAUCACCUAGGUUCCUUGUUGUUAAAGAAAUACCUCUCUCCUCAUUAACUUUUCCCAUCAAAUCAUCUUUUUAUCUUCCCAAAACAAUGUAUAUCCUUAAUAAUUAUAUUAUUUCAUAAUAUAAUUAUUUUAACUUCAAAUUCAAUUAAUUAUAUAAUUAUAUAUAUAUAAUUAAUCAUAAUUCUCUCAAAUACAAUUCUCCCAACUCCAUCAAAUAUAAAUCAACCAAAUUCCAACUAAUUAAUUAAAUAUUUUCCCAUGAAUAUCUAAUUAAGUUUGAUUUUUACAAAAUCAAACAACUCUAUAAUUAAAUCAAAUAAUGCCCAAAAUAAAUUCCACAAGCUUACAAUUAAGCUUAAGGUAAUUAAAUUAAAAAUUACCUUUGGAGCGUUACAAUCUUCCCUCCUUUGAGAAACUUUCGCCCUCGAAAGUUUUAAUCCUCGAACAGCUCGAGAUACUACGUUCUCAUGUCGUCCUCUCUCUCCCAUGUGGCCUCUUUAGCUCCGUAAUUUCGCCAAUGAACUUUGACCAAUGCAAUUCCUCUAUUGAGGAGCAUCUUGACCUCUCUUGCCAAAAUCUCAACGGGUUGCUCCUCAUAGCUCAGUUCUCAUUAAUUAGCAACGGUUUAAAGUCAACUACAUGCGUCGGGUCUACUACAUACUUUCUUAAUAUAGAGACAUGGAAUACAUCAUGGACUGCAAAAAAGGAUGAAGGCAACGCGAAACGAUAAGCUAUGGGACCAAUUCGCUCAUGUAUCUCAAAUGGCCCUACGAAACGCGUUCCUACAAUUUAUUUUAUUCAGGCAACUCCUUUGCUUUCAUACUAUUUUUCUUUUAAUGAAAUUUUGUAUUUGAAUAGUGGACUUUUUAUUUAUUUAUUUUUUUUAGUUUCUUAUGGAUUUUUACUACUUCAAAAACCAUUCUCACAAAGGACUCAAGAGCAGAACAGGUAAUUGAAUUACAGUAUUACGCUACAAUCCUUUUAUCUUUAUUUUUCUUUUUUUCUUGAUAAUGUUAUAUAAGCAUAAUAUACUUUUAUUAUACAUAACAGUGCAAUGUCUUCCUUCUCUUUUAGUUUGAGUUGUCAGUGUACCUUGGAGGUAAAUUGAGACUUCCUACUAUUACACUCUCAUGGCAAAGAAACAAUCAUCAAGAUAUAUGACGGCAAGUUCGAAUGAGUUACUUGAACCUGUAUCAAACUUUGAUAACUUGUUGAUGUUUAAGUAAUUUUGGUUACAAGUUUAUUAUUUUUAUUUUAUUAAUGAUAUUGAACAAAUUUUGUACGAAGUUGUUGAUACAUUUUGAUUUUGUUCAAUGUUAUAAUAUUUGUGAUUA